Molecule: ribosomal RNA, 119 nt
Filed under: Pteropus alecto (black flying fox)
Lineage: Eukaryota; Metazoa; Chordata; Mammalia; Chiroptera; Pteropodidae
Also listed under: 1 other name
Source: RNAcentral
GUUUAUGGCCAUGCCACCCUGAACACGCCUGAUCUCGUCUGAUCUCGGAAGCUAAGCAGGGUCAAGACUGGUUAGUACUUGGAUGAGAGACCACCUAGGAAGACCAGGGGCUGUAGGCG